AUGGGUGCUAUGGGGCGGGCGCUGCUGUGGGGUGGGCGCUGUAGGGUAGGUGCUAUGGGGUGGGUGCUGCUGUGGGGCCGGUGCCGCUUCCCAGCCCUCGCUGCCCCAUAGCGCCGUGGGGCUGAGGGGGGGUCGGCGUCCCUGGGGCGCUGUGUGGGGUGGGGGAAGUUGUGGGGCUGCGCUGUGUGCUGUGGGGCUGCCGUGCCUACAGGGUGUGUUGUACCCUAUAGGGCUGCUGUGCCCUAUGGGGCUGGUAGACCCUAUAGGGCUGUGUUGUAUCCUAUGGGGCCGUUAUGUCCUAUAAAGCUGUUGUACCCCAUAGGGCUGUUGUAUCCUAUAUGGCUGUUAAAUCCUAUAGGGCUGCUGUACAUUAUAAAGCUGUGUUGUAUCCUAUAGGGCCGUUAUGUCCUAUAAAGCUGUUGUACCCUAUAGGGCUGUUAUGCCCUAUAGAACUGCUGCACCCUAUGGGGCCGCGCGCUUUGGGGCCGUGCCACCCCCUGUGGGGCCGCUCUGUGCCCUAUGGGGCUGUGCCAAAAUCAGUGGGGCUGUGCUCUAUAGGGCCGCACUGCCGCGUAUGGGGCCGUGUCAACAUAUGGGGCUGCAUGUUAUGGGGCCGUGCCCUGGGGUGCUGUGCCAUACCCAUGGUCUGUGGGGCCGUGCCACACUCUAUAGGGCCGUGCUGCACUCUAUAGGGCCGUGCCCUAUGGUGCCGUGCCGUACGCUAUGGGGCUGUGCCAUAUCCUAUGGGGUCGUGCCGUCUGGGGCCAUGCCGUACGCCAUGGGGUCACGCUUAUGGGACCGUGCAUAUAGGGCCGUGCUGUACUCUAUGGGGCUGUGUGCUGUGCGAUAUCCUAUGGGGCCGUGCGCUAUGGGGCUGUGCCAUAUGGGGCCAUGCCGUGCUCUAUGGGGCCGUGCCAUAUGCUAUGGGGCCGUGCCUUAUCCUAUGGGGCUGUGCCAUGCCCUAUGGGGCCGUGCCCUAUGGGGCUGUGAGUUAUGGGGCUGUGCCAUAUCCUAUGGGGCCGUGCCCUAUGGGGCCGUGUCAUACUCUAUGGGGCAGUGUGCUAUGGGGCCGUGCAAACCCUAUAGGGUGGUGCCGCACCCUAUGGGCAGUGCUGUCGUUAUGGGGCAACAUCACACCCUAUGGGGCUGUGCCAUCUCUGUAGGGCCAUGCUGUCCCUAUGGGGCCGUACCACACCCUAUGGGGCCGUGCCGCACCCUAUGGGGCCGCGGUGCGGAGGCGGCCGUGGGGCUGCGGUCGCUCCGCCCCAUAGCGCGGGCAGCGCCACGUGGCCCCAAUGGCCCCAGUGCCCCCCCAUCCCUGUGCCCUCAUCCCAGUUCCUCCCAGUGCCCCCCCAUCCCGCUGCCCCCCCCAUCCCAGUGCCGCCCCGCCCCAUUUUUCCUCCCAAUUCCCAGUGCCCCCCCAUCCC
This 1427-nucleotide long non-coding RNA is filed under the name Phasianus colchicus (ring-necked pheasant). RNAcentral describes it as "lncRNA (ENSPCLG00000018792.1)". The record is from RNAcentral. Lineage: Eukaryota; Metazoa; Chordata; Aves; Galliformes; Phasianidae.